RNAcentral lists this ribosomal RNA (301 nucleotides) under uncultured bacterium. Its description in RNAcentral is "partial 16S ribosomal RNA". It matches the Rfam family "Bacterial small subunit ribosomal RNA", at positions 509 to 807 of the family's 1533-position model. The record is from RNAcentral.
CAGCAGCCGCGGGAAUACGAGGGGGGCAAGCGUUGUUCGGAAUUAUUGGGCGUAAAGGGCGCGUAGGCGGUUUGGCAAGUUUGGUGUGAAAUCUUCGGGCUCAACUCGAAGUCUGCAUCGAAAACUGCCGGGCUUGAAUAUGGGAGAGGUGAGUGGAAUUUCCGGUGUAGCGGUGAAAUGCGUAGAUAUCGGAAGGAACACCUGUGGCGAAAGCGGCUCACUGGACCAUAACUGACGCUGAGGCGCGAAAGCUAGGGGAGCAAACAGGAUUAGAUACCCCAGUAGUCCCUGUCUCUUAUAC